CAGGGUUGUUGGUAGAAAUCUUAAAGAAGAGUUCUUCGGUGCCUUUGAUGGUUUUUGUCGAAGCUUAAUGGAAAUCUUCGAGAGGAAGACAGGUCGGAUAGGCAAGCAGUUAGCUGACCUGGCACAACAGACAACGAGCACUGAGCCAACAGCCAUUAGAUGCCUUAUCCUGAGAGGACUUCCAGUCAUUCUUGGGGAUGAUGCAUCUAUGUUCUUUAAGAGCAGUUCGAAUCUUAAUGAGGGAGACUCUGUGGACAUUCCCGUGGGAAUCCUCUGCUAUAAG
Long non-coding RNA from Larimichthys crocea (large yellow croaker), 283 nucleotides. RefSeq lists it as uncharacterized. Lineage: Eukaryota; Metazoa; Chordata; Actinopteri; Sciaenidae. The transcript has 3 exons. The record is from RefSeq and is a predicted model, not a curated record.